RNAcentral lists this ribosomal RNA (250 nucleotides) under uncultured archaeon. RNAcentral's name for it is "partial 16S ribosomal RNA". It matches the Rfam family "Archaeal small subunit ribosomal RNA", at positions 474 to 722 of the family's 1478-position model. The record is from RNAcentral.
CACCGGCGCCACAAGUGGUCAUCACGAUUAUUGGGCCUAAAGCGUUCGUAGCCGGUUUGGUAAAUCUCUUGUGAAAUUGUGCAGCUUAACUGUACAGCGCGCAGGGGACACUGCCAGACUCGAGACCGGGAGGGGGCAGAAGUAUUCCGUGGGGACCGGUAAAAUGGGAUAAUCCACGGAGGACUACCGAUGGCGAAGGCAUCUGUCCAGAACGGAUCUGACGGUGAGGAACGAAAAGCCAGGGGAGCGA